GAUUCGUCACACUAUCAUUAACUGAAUCCAUAGGUUAAUGAGGCGAACCGGGGGAACUGAAACAUCUAAGUACCCCGAGGAAAAGAAAUCAACCGAGAUUCCCCCAGUAGCGGCGAGCGAACGGGGAGGAGCCCAGAGCCUGAAUCAGCAUGUGUGUUAGUGGAAGCGUCUGGAAAGGCGCGCGAUACAGGGUGACAGCCCCGUACACAAAAGCGCAUGUGCUGUGAGCUCGAUGAGUAGGGCGGGACACGUGGUAUCCUGUCUGAAUAUGGGGGGACCAUCCUCCAAGGCUAAAUACUCCUGACUGACCGAUAGUGAACCAGUACCGUGAGGGAAAGGCGAAAAGAACCCCGGCGAGGGGAGUGAAAAAGAACCUGAAACCGUGUACGUACAAGCAGUGGGAGCACAGGUUUACCUGUGUGACUGCGUACCUUUUGUAUAAUGGGUCAGCGACUUAUAUUCUGUAGCAAGGUUAACCGUAUAGGGGAGC
RNAcentral lists this ribosomal RNA (490 nucleotides) under Salmonella enterica subsp. enterica serovar Derby. RNAcentral describes it as "partial 23S ribosomal RNA". It matches the Rfam family "Bacterial large subunit ribosomal RNA", at positions 137 to 666 of the family's 2925-position model. The record is from RNAcentral. RNAcentral also lists the same sequence under 3 other names. Lineage: Bacteria; Pseudomonadati; Pseudomonadota; Gammaproteobacteria; Enterobacterales; Enterobacteriaceae.